Molecule: ribosomal RNA, 429 nt
Filed under: Gemmatimonadota bacterium
Lineage: Bacteria; Pseudomonadati; Gemmatimonadota
Description: Gemmatimonadetes bacterium partial 16S ribosomal RNA
Rfam family: Bacterial small subunit ribosomal RNA
Source: RNAcentral
UAGGGAAUCUUCGGCAAUGGACGAAAGUCUGACCGAGCAACGCCGCGUGAGUGAAGAAGGUUUUCGGAUCGUAAAACUCUGUUGUUAGAGAAGAACAAGGACGUUAGUAACUGAACGUCCCCUGACGGUAUCUAACCAGAAAGCCACGGCUAACUACGUGCCAGCAGCCGCGGUAAUACGUAGGUGGCAAGCGUUGUCCGGAUUUAUUGGGCGUAAAGCGAGCGCAGGCGGUUUCUUAAGUCUGAUGUGAAAGCCCCCGGCUCAACCGGGGAGGGUCAUUGGAAACUGGGAGACUUGAGUGCAGAAGAGGAGGGUGGAAGUCCAUGUGUAGCGGUGAAAUGCGUAGAUAUAUGGAGGAACACCAGUGGCGAAGGCGGAUCUCUGGUCUGUAACUGACGCUGAGGCUCGAAAGCGUGGGGAGCAAACAGG